Molecule: small nuclear RNA, 97 nt
Filed under: Sciurus vulgaris (Eurasian red squirrel)
Lineage: Eukaryota; Metazoa; Chordata; Mammalia; Rodentia; Sciuridae
Source: RNAcentral
GUGCUCACUUGGCAGCACACACACGAAAACUGGAACAGGAGGUUGGCACAGCCUGCGCAAGGAUGACACACAAACUCCUGAAGCACUCCAGGUUUUU